RNAcentral lists this ribosomal RNA (445 nucleotides) under uncultured bacterium. RNAcentral describes it as "SSU rRNA". It matches the Rfam family "Bacterial small subunit ribosomal RNA", at positions 26 to 518 of the family's 1533-position model. The record is from RNAcentral.
AGAGCGAACGCUGGCGGCAGGCUUAACACAUGCAAGUCGAACGGAUCCUUCGGGAUUAGUGGCGGACGGGUGAGUAACACGUGGGAACGUGCCUUUUGGUUCGGAACAACUCAGGGAAACUUGAGCUAAUACCGGAUGUGCCCUUCGGGGGAAAGAUUUAUCGCCAUUAGAGCGGCCCGCGUCUGAUUAGCUAGUUGGUGAGGUAAAGGCCCACCAAGGCUACGAUCAGUAGCUGGUCUGAGAGGAUGACCAGCCACAUUGGGACUGAGACACGGCCCAAACUCCUACGGGAGGCAGCAGUGGGGAAUCUUGCGCAAUGGGCGAAAGCCUGACGCAGCCAUGCCGCGUGAAUGAUGAAGGUCUUAGGAUUGUAAAAUUCUUUCACCGGGGACGAUAAUGACGGUACCCGGAGAAGAAGCCCCGGCUAACUCGUGCCAGCAGCCGC